Molecule: ribosomal RNA, 465 nt
Filed under: Vreelandella stevensii
Lineage: Bacteria; Pseudomonadati; Pseudomonadota; Gammaproteobacteria; Oceanospirillales; Halomonadaceae
Description: partial 16S ribosomal RNA
Rfam family: Bacterial small subunit ribosomal RNA
Source: RNAcentral
CCUACGGGGGGCAGCAGUGGGGAAUAUUGGACAAUGGGGGCAACCCUGAUCCAGCCAUGCCGCGUGUGUGCAGAAGGCCCUCGGGUUGUAAAGCACUUUCAGUGAGGAAGAACGCCUGGUGGUUAAUACCCAUCAGGAAAGACAUCACUCACAGAAGAAGCACCGGCUAACUCCGUGCCAGCAGCCGCGGUAAUACGGAGGGUGCGAGCGUUAAUCGGAAUUACUGGGCGUAAAGCGCGCGUAGGUGGCUUGAUAAGCCGGUUGUGAAAGCCCCGGGCUCAACCUGGGAACGGCAUCCGGAACCGUCAAGCUAGAGUGCAGGAGAGGAAGGUAGAAUUCCCGGUGUAGCGGUGAAAUGCGUAGAGCUCGGGAGGAAUACCAGUGGCGAAGGCGGCCUUCUGGACUGACACUGACACUGAGGUGCGAAAGCGUGGGUAGCAAACAGGAUUAGAUACCCGUGUAGUC